UACGUAGGGGGCAAGCGUUGUUCGGAAUUACUGGGCGUAAAGAGCGCGCAGGCGGUCGGAUAAGUCGCGUGUGAAAGCCCCCGGCUCAACUGGGGAGGGUCACGCGAUACUGUUCGACUCGAAGGCAGGAGAGGGAAGUGGAAUUCCCGGUGUAGUGGUGAAAUGCGUAGAUAUCGGGAGGAACACCAGUGGCGAAGGCGACUUCCUGGCCUGUUCUUGACGCUGAGGCGCGAAAGCGUGGGGAGCAAACAGG
Molecule: ribosomal RNA, 253 nt
Filed under: uncultured bacterium
Lineage: Bacteria
Description: partial 16S ribosomal RNA
Rfam family: Bacterial small subunit ribosomal RNA
Source: RNAcentral